Long non-coding RNA from Humulus lupulus (European hop), 524 nucleotides. RefSeq lists it as uncharacterized. Lineage: Eukaryota; Viridiplantae; Streptophyta; Magnoliopsida; Rosales; Cannabaceae. The record is from RefSeq and is a predicted model, not a curated record. The transcript is spliced from 3 exons.
CAGCCGUACCCCCCUCCUACCCUCUCCAUCGUUGUCUUCUCUCAGCCCCCCUUCUUCUCUCUCGUCUUUGGCCUUGCGUCCCCCGGAUCCACUCAACUCUCCCCUUCUUCUCUCUUGGCAACGGUGGUCUUCCUUCCGACGGCGCCGACAACAGAGUGGUGGUGGUGCGCGGCAUUGUUGGUGGUGCAACGGGGCUUGCCAACCCUCAACAACAAUUGAGAGACUGGCAGAGGCGUCUCUGCCAAGAAUUCCGCAACAUGGAACGCUAGAUUAGAGCUAGAGCUUCUUAAAUUGUGGUUCUCCCAUAUGCGGGAGGUGAAGCCUGGUAUAUAUGUUACGUAUAAUGGUGAUUUUUUUGACUGGCCUUUCCUGGAAAAAAGAGCAGCCCAUCAUGGAUUCAAACUUAGUGAUGAGGUUGGAUUUCAAUGUGACUAUAAUCAAGGAGAAUGUCGUGCUAAAUUUGCUUGCCAUCUUGAUUGCUUUGCUUGGGUCAAGCGUGAUAGUUAUCUCCCUCAGGGAAGCCA